Molecule: non-coding RNA, 82 nt
Organism: Trichonephila clavipes
Lineage: Eukaryota; Metazoa; Arthropoda; Arachnida; Araneae; Nephilidae
Source: the annotation of a GenBank genome assembly
GCCGCUAUAGCUCAGGGGCUAGAGCGUUGGUCUCGUAAACCAAAGGUCGCAAUGCAUUUGAGUUCAAAUCUCGUUGGCGGCA